AAACGUAGGACGCGAGCGUUAUCCGGAUUUACUGGGCGUAAAGGGCGUGUAGGCGGCCUUUCAAGUCGGCUGUGAAAUACCCCGGCUCAACCGGGGGGGUGCAGUCGAAACUGGGGGGCUUGAGUGCAGGAGAGGGGGGUGGAAUUCCCGGUGGAGCGGUGAUAUGCGUAGAUAUCGGGAGGAACACCGGUGGCGAAGGCGACCUUCUGGCCUGUUACUGACGCUGAGGCGCGAAAGCCGGGGGAGCAAACAGGAUUAGAUACCCUGGUAGUCCCGGCCGUAAACUCUGGGUACUAGGUGUAGGGGGCUUUGAUGCCUUCUGUGCCGUAGUUAACGCAUUAAGUACCCCGCCUGGGGAGUACGAUCGCAAGGUUGAA
RNAcentral lists this ribosomal RNA (377 nucleotides) under uncultured bacterium. RNAcentral describes it as "partial 16S ribosomal RNA". It matches the Rfam family "Bacterial small subunit ribosomal RNA", at positions 523 to 898 of the family's 1533-position model. The record is from RNAcentral.